UCAAAUCAGCUUCAGCUUUCAGGACAGAACAUUUAUUUAAGCUCUAAACUGAACAAAAUCCUACAUUGUUCAAUUAAUCUGUUGUUUCUUUAUGUAACUUGUACGGCCAGGAUGCUGCAUGUCACCAUUUCAUUUGAAGCUGAUCUGCAGGGAUAUGCACAGACAUUUUGGGGGGCAGGGUCUCAAGUGAAAAAGGGCACUUCUCAUAAUUAUUUAUUUAAAAAAAUAAUUUUUUAACAAAACACUAAAUAUAUUAACACAACUCUGACUUCCUUUAUUUUAAUCAGAACGCAACAAAGUCUAAUCUCCCAUCCUAAUAUUUAGAUUUUUUAUUCAAUAAAUACAUUUGUUUGACAGGGAAGCUGUGUGCAAACAGGAAUAUAUAUUCAUUUAUUAAAAGAAAAAGAAGCUCUCCAGAAAAAAGGCACUUUCUCUCUAGGAAAAAAAUGGCAGGUGCUCAAGCCCCUUUGAUGUCUAUGUGUGCAGUGCCUGCUGAUCUGUUUAACUCUGCUGCUUUUCAUCAAUCUGACGCUUGUGCAGAAUGAGCUAAAAAUGGUCACUAAAAGAGAUGACAUCCUCUGACAACUUUUCAUUAUGUAGGCCAAUCCUCUCUGUAUUCAGCUUAUGUCUUGGAGCAAGCAAGACAAAAAAAACUCUCCCCACCACUUUUACUCAGGGGAGUGACUCCAUAAAAGUCUGCAGCUGCCGUCAGUCAGAGCAGAUAUUAGAGGUACGGCUCACACAAAAAUGGCCCCCUCUCUCUCAAUGUCACAUAAACUGUGUGAUGGCCUUGCUGUUAAAUGGAGUGGAAUUGAUUUUACGCAGCGAGCAGCAAGGCGGUGAGCAUCCACAGACAUCUGAAGGGUCCCCUCCUCGUCACACUCCCCCCAAAAAAUGAUUAUAGUUAUAUAAGUUUCCCUCCCACUCCCUUCAUCCUCUCUACCAUCAGCAGGGGUGUUGUCAUAGCAACCCCCACCCCUCCUUUUGAACGUCAGAGACAGGAGCUUGGUAGGAUAAGAGCCGCAUGCAGCUUCUGUCUCUUGUGCCUCUCGGAGAGCACCUUUCGCCGUCUCACAUGCAACAGUCAGAGCUGCAGCGCUGGAAAUAAUCUGAUGAUUGAUUUGACUCACGACUGCUGCACAUCACAUACCAUCUAAGACCAAGAGAACAACAGAUUCAGCAGCGUCUGCAGCCGUGAUGUCGUGGCUGUUCUUGGACUGGUUCGUCCCCCUCUACCUGCUGGUGUCGGUUUUGGUGCUGGCAGGCUUCGGAGCGUGCCUUUACUUCCUCGAGCCAGGGCUGCAGGAUGCCCACAAGUGGAGCAACAAAACAGUCCGGCAUCACCCGCUGGUGGCCAGUGUGAACUGCAGAGAUGACGAUAGCAAUGCCCUGAUAUGAUCAAGAGGGCGAGGUGGAGCAAGGCGGGAGGCCAUCUGGACAGGGGUUCUGCCAGCACACCGGUGGAAUGGGAGCCGACACCUUACAGAUGGAGAAAGAAAAUGAGAAAGAUGGAGGAGAGAAUACCCUGUCCUAUCAUUCCAACUUUUCUUUGACCUCUAACAUACUUUAUGUAGAGAUCAGGGGAAAGUGAAGCAGAGGGGGAAGCCAAAUGCGCAUGGAGGAGAAGACUUCAUGUAGGAUAAGAUUGUGAUGUGGUUGGAGGACAUGUUGCCCUUUAGAAAUGUGAUUUAAACAUGAUGUAAAUGUCACGCCAUCAUCUACUUGUGCCAACUUUUACAUACGUUUUGUAAUUUGACAAUCACUUUACAUAAAUCAUGAAGUUAUAAUUCUACUUCUACUUAUAUUGUGCUUUAAAUUAGUGAAGUGAGUGACAGAAGUGCAAUGAGUUUGUCGCCAGUGGGGAGGGUUUUCAAUCCUCUCUUUCUCUCUCUGGUUAUGUCUGCACGGCAGCUGCUGAGAAGCAUGUGGAUUGUUUGUGCCAUUGUGCCAAAAUGGUGUUAGUAGUGACUUUAUUAAAAUAUGUACUGAAUAAAUGCAACACAAUUUACUCAAGAUGCCAAAAUUAUCCUAGAUGAACCAAGAUUACUGAAAACUAGUAUUUGGUAAUGCUCAAAGUGUAUAUUUUUUGUUUUCAUUGUUUUUACUUGACAGCAUGGUGAGGAAACUUUUGAUGAUCAUAUGCCUACUUUGUUCAUACAAAAUAAAGCUGUUUAAUCCUCAA
Molecule: long non-coding RNA, 2182 nt
Organism: Sander lucioperca (pikeperch)
Lineage: Eukaryota; Metazoa; Chordata; Actinopteri; Perciformes; Percidae
Exons: 2
Source: RefSeq, a predicted model, not a curated record